GUUUUGUUCUUAAAAUCGGGUAUUACAAAGAGUAAAUUACACUGGCAGUCCCUAAACUAUCACAUGAUUCUUAUCUAAAUCCUCAAACUAUAAAAUUGCAUAUCUAGAUCCCUACUAUUUAAGUUUAUCAUCCUCAUCUAAAAUAGUCAUGUCACAGUCCAUUAGCUAGCAUGACAUUUUAACGUAGAACCGUCACGUGGGUCUAUAGCUCAUAAUCACAUAGAUGGUCUCUAAACGAUUAUGUGAUUCUUACCUAGGUCCUAAACAAUGAAGUGCUCAUCUGGAUCCCUAAUCUAUUAAAGUACUACAAUCUCGGUCCAAAGCAAUGUCUUGACAUGAUCUGCUAGUACAGUUGGAUCUGGGGAUGCGAGUGUGG
Molecule: long non-coding RNA, 376 nt
Filed under: Sorghum bicolor (sorghum)
Lineage: Eukaryota; Viridiplantae; Streptophyta; Magnoliopsida; Poales; Poaceae
Description: long non-coding RNA (SBIC_LNC014765)
Source: RNAcentral